RNAcentral lists this unclassified non-coding RNA (226 nucleotides) under Hevea brasiliensis (rubber tree). Lineage: Eukaryota; Viridiplantae; Streptophyta; Magnoliopsida; Malpighiales; Euphorbiaceae. The record is from RNAcentral.
GGCGGAGGAAAUCUCCGAGGAGAAAACGAGCAGAAGAGGAAGGUGCGGAGGCGGCGGUGGUGACGUUUGGCCAAGGACCGGAAACGUUGAGGUCGAGGGACAGACCGGUGACGGGAGGAGGGAAGUUGGUUUUGGCUUUGGAGCCGCGGAGAGAUCUGGCGGCGCCGUCGUAAGCAAGGGCGGCUUCUUCCGGAGUAUCGAAAGUGCCUAACCAGACACGGGUUUU